GAUGAACGCUGGCGGCGUGCCUAAUACAUGCAAGUCGAGCGAACGGACGAGAAGCUUGCUUCUCUGAUGUUAGCGGCGGACGGGUGAGUAACACGUGGAUAACCUACCUAUAAGACUGGGAUAACUUCGGGAAACCGUAGCUAAUACCGGAUAAUAUUUUGAACCGCAUGGUUCAAAAGUGAAAGACGGUCUUGCUGUCACUUAUAGAUGGAUCCGCGCUGCAUUAGCUAGUUGGUAAGGUAACGGCUUACCAAGGCAACGAUGCAUAGCCGACCUGAGAGGGUGGUCGGCCACCCUGGAACUGAGACACGGUCCAGACUCCUACGGGAGGCAGCAGUAGGGAAUCUUCCGCAAUGGGCGAAAGCCUGACGGAGCAACGCCGCGUGAGUGAUGAAGGUCUUCGGAUCGUAAAACUCUGUUAUUAGGGAAGAACAUAUGUGUAAGUAACUGUGCACAUCUUGACGGUACCUAAUCAGAAAGCCACGGCUAACUACGUG
RNAcentral lists this ribosomal RNA (497 nucleotides) under uncultured bacterium. RNAcentral's name for it is "partial 16S ribosomal RNA". It matches the Rfam family "Bacterial small subunit ribosomal RNA", at positions 28 to 507 of the family's 1533-position model. The record is from RNAcentral.